CGCCUGUUUAUCAAAAACAUCGCCUCCUGCAAUACAACCAAGUAUAGGAGGUCCAGCCUGCCCAGUGACUAUAAUGUUCAACGGCCGCGGUAUUUUGACCGUGCAAACGGAAGCGCAUUCACUUGUCAUUUAACGCCAGAUUUGUAUGAAUGGCCAAACGAGGGCUUAACUGUCUCCCUUUUCAAGUCAGUGAAAUUGAUCUGCCCGUGCAGAAGCGGACAUAAAAAUACAAGACGAGAAGACCCUUUGGAGCUUAAGGUACAAAACUCAACCACGUCAAGCAACUCGACAAAAAGCAAAAACUUUGUGAAACAUGAGAUUUUACCUUCGGUUGGGGCGACCACGGAGGAAAAAAAAGCCUCCAAGUGGACCGGGACAAACUCCUAAAACCAAGAAAGACAUCUCUAAGCCACAGAAUAUCUGACCAAACAUGAUCCGGCCAACAGAGCCGAUCAACGAACCAAGUUACCCUAGGGAUAACAGCGCAAUCCCCUCCCAGAGUCCAUAUCGACGAGGGGGUUUACGACCUCGAUGUUGGAUCAGGACAUCCUAAUGGUGCAGCCGCUAUUAAGGGUUCGUUUGUUCAACGAUUAAAGUCCUACGUGAUCUGAGUUCAGACCGG
This 622-nucleotide ribosomal RNA is filed under the name Hypselobarbus dobsoni. RNAcentral's name for it is "partial large subunit ribosomal RNA". It matches the Rfam family "Bacterial large subunit ribosomal RNA", at positions 1797 to 2619 of the family's 2925-position model. Lineage: Eukaryota; Metazoa; Chordata; Actinopteri; Cypriniformes; Cyprinidae. The record is from RNAcentral.